GACGAAAGUCUGACGGAGCAACGCCGCGUGAGUGAUGAAGGUUUUCGGAUCGUAAAGCUCUGUUGUUAGGGAAGAACAAGUGCGAGAGUAACUGCUCGCACCUUGACGGUACCUAACCAGAAAGCCACGGCUAACUACGUGCCAGCAGCCGCGGUAAUACGUAGGUGGCAAGCGUUGUCCGGGAAUUAUUGGGCGUAAAGGGCUCGCAGGCGGUUUCUUAAGUCUGAUGUGAAAGCCCCCGGCUCAACCGGGGAGGGUCAUUGGAAACUGGGAAACUUGAGUGCAGAAGAGGAGAGUGGAAUUCCACGUGUAGCGGUGAAAUGCGUAGAGAUGUGGAGGAACACCAGUGGCGAAGGCGACUCUCUGGUCUGUAACUGACGCUGAGGAGCGAAAGCGUGGGGAGCGAACAGGAUUAGAUACCCUGGUAGUCCACGCCGUAAACGAUGAGUGCUAAGUGUUAGGGGGUUUCCGCCCCUUAGUGCUGCAGCUAACGCAUUAAGCACUCCGCCUGGGGAGUACGGUCGCAAGACUGAAACUCAAAGGAAUUGACGGGGGCCCGCACAAGCGGUGGAGCAUGUGGUUUAAUUCGAAGCAACGCGAAGAACCUUACCAGGUCUUGACAUCCUCUGACAACCCUAGAGAUAGGGCUUUCCCUUCGGGGACAGAGUGACAGGUGGUGCAUGGUUGUCGUCAGCUCGUGUCGUGAGAUGUUGGGUUAAGUCCCGCAACGAGCGCAACCCUUGAUCU
Molecule: ribosomal RNA, 747 nt
Filed under: Bacillus sp. X16(2016)
Lineage: Bacteria; Bacillati; Bacillota; Bacilli; Caryophanales; Bacillaceae
Description: bacterial SSU rRNA
Rfam family: Bacterial small subunit ribosomal RNA
Source: RNAcentral